This is a long non-coding RNA of Drosophila mojavensis, 1738 nucleotides long. RefSeq lists it as uncharacterized. The transcript has 2 exons. The record is from RefSeq and is a predicted model, not a curated record. NCBI's taxonomy places the organism in Eukaryota, Metazoa, Arthropoda, Insecta, Diptera, Drosophilidae.
AUUUCAGAAAAUGGUGGGCGCGCGUUUGAAUUUGUAUGAAAAUCAAGCAACUUUGACACUGUUAUUUGUCUUAAAACUAGUAGACUAAAUAAAACGAGUUGGGCGGCUAAUCACAUGUUCUAUAUAGAUUCACGAAUCGGAAAAUAUAAAGGUUUUUGCUAAUUUUUAUACUCUAAAUUGUUUUCUAAGCAGUUAUUGAUCAUGCAAUCCCUUGACCACUUUUACUCUUGCAUAUAAUGGACUUAACCUUACUAUCUAAGGCUUGAAUUUGUAAAGCUAAAAGUUACUACUAAGUAUUAUGCAUUUCCCAUCAAUCCGCAUAAUCAUACGUACUAAUUUCAUUCUUUAUAUUACAAAUCCGAUGGCCAUAGAUGAUACGCAGCAUUGUUAGCUUCUGUCUAAGUUUUAAGAGCUGAUUCAGGAGGAUUAUGUGUUUCCUUAGGUUUCAAUACUUAUAAUCAUACAAGUUUACGACUUGGCAACUAAUACACAAAUAUUAGUUCAUUCUACCGGAUGUUUCUGACAUGACAGCAGGGGUGAGCAGCACCUUUAUUGAUGCAGCUUCAACGUGUACUAUAUUUAAAUGUGUAGGUAAAUUGGCAUAAAUAAACAAUACUGAUGGCGAGAACCCAGUUAACUAUGUCCAUCAACCAUUCCUGCUGACUUAUUGGCCAUUUUUGCUGCAUUCGAGAGGCCUCCCAGUUCAUUCCAUUAUAUACUUAAUUUCUUUAUUGUAUGGUAAUAAAAUUAGUGAUUGACCAUUUUUAAGGUAUUUACUAUUUAAAUUUUUUAUAUAUAGUUAGUUUUGGUUGUUUUGGACGACUUAGUCGAUCUCUGCUGAAAUGCCUUCCAAGCUUCAGCCGGGAUAUCAUAGCAAAAUCUGAUAAUGUGACGUCACAAGAGAGCUGUUAGUUAACAUUAAAAGUAACGGGACUGCUCUUUGCGCAACCUACUGUGUCUUUUAACAGUGACUCUUCACUAAGUAAAUUCGUGUUUCAGAUAUCGUUGGUAAUGUAAAAUCACAAACCAGAGUACACAUAGAUUAGACAUGUAGAACAAAUGUUUUCAACGACAAAAAAAUGCGUUGAAGAGACUAGACAACUUCGUAUUUGCUCGGCUCAGUCAUUUGAGGCUCGAGCAGUGAAAAUCUUACACGACGGAGUCAGUGCCAGCGUGACCGAAUAUAGUAUUUUAAAUACUUUUUGGUAUUUUAUCAGCUCUGAUUUUGCUCAAAAUCAUGGUAUAUAGGUAUUUAGUAGCAUUUUUCUUCGAUUUUACGGUAUUAUAUGGUAUUUUCGGUUUGGUCACUCUUUAAGUCUUAAUGAAUCGAAUGCUUAAUGCUUAAGACUUGCUUAAUUUUAAAACAAAUAAAUAGAAAACAUGAGCAAUAAGCAAAAAUAUAGAGCUGAGUGGAAGACUAUGCCGGAAAAUGAAAAAUGGCUGGGCAGGAGCGCAAAUAAUAUGGAUGCGCUCUGCAAAGCGUGCCAGACUGACAUUUUGAGUAGGCUGGCGUCACUUAAGCAGCACGCGGCUACACAAAAACAAAGAUAAUAUGAAAUACUUCUGUGGAAAAUCAAAGAGUCGGACAACACUAGCUACCUCUAUCAAAAAGGCAGAAAUUAUAUUUGCUGCAGCCAUUGCUGAACACAACAUACAGGGUGACCGCGCCGGACCAAACGAAAAAUACCAAUUUGGUCUCAAAAAUAUACUAUAAAAUACUAUUUCAUAUAUUACAAAA